GGGAUGAUAACUUCCAGCGCUCUAAUCCUUAAGGCCCUUUUUUUGUCGGAAGUACCAGAUACGUCCUUGGUCGGAAAUGGGUUAAACACUUUCCUGCACAGAUCGCAGGGGAUCUGAUACUAAUCAGACACAACUGUGGAUAACCACAGGUUAAAAUAAAAUUCCACCAGUAAUUUAUAUUGGCAGCAAACAGAGUUAAAACAACCAUGAUAAUGGUCAAACUGUAGAGGAAUUCACUUUGUCCAAGGAAAAACCCAAGCUUUUAGAUAGUGAGCUUAUUUGGGCUGGUCCCUCUUCACCUACCAUUCCAGAAUGUCAAAACAGGUUUUGUAGGAUUGUUUGUGUUAGUUAACUUAUUGUACAGCGUCACAGACUAUGUUGGCACUAUAUACAUAAUUGUAAUUAAAUCUUUGGGAGAAAUAUCUC
Pelobates cultripes (western spadefoot toad) is the source of this 426-nucleotide non-coding RNA. NCBI's taxonomy places the organism in Eukaryota, Metazoa, Chordata, Amphibia, Anura, Pelobatidae. The record is from the annotation of a GenBank genome assembly.